GUGUCAGCAGCCGCGGUAAUACGUAGGGUGCAAGCGUUGUCCGGAUUUAUUGGGCGUAAAGAGCUCGUAGGCGGUUAGUCACGUCGGAUGUGAAAACUCAGAGCUUAACUCUGAGCCUGCAUUCGAUACGGGCUGACUAGAGUGUUGUAGGGGAGACUGGAACUCCUGGUGUAGCGGUGAAAUGCGCAGAUAUCAGGAAGAACACCGGUGGCGAAGGCGGGUCUCUGGGCAACUACUGACGCUGAGGAGCGAAAGCGUGGGGAGCAAACAGGAUUAGAUACCCCCGUAGUCC
Molecule: ribosomal RNA, 292 nt
Filed under: uncultured bacterium
Lineage: Bacteria
Description: partial 16S ribosomal RNA
Rfam family: Bacterial small subunit ribosomal RNA
Source: RNAcentral